AUUGAACGCUGGCGGCAGGCCUAACACAUGCAAGUCGAACGAGUGGCGGACGGGUGAGUAAUGUCUGGGAAACUGCCUGAUGGAGGGGGAUAACUACUGGAAACGGUAGCUAAUACCGCAUACCAUCGGAUGUGCCCAUAUGGGAUUAGCUAGUAGGUGGGGUAAAGGCUCACCUAGGCGACGAUCCCUCGCUGGUCUGAGAGGAUGACAAGCCACACUGGAACGGAGAAACGGUCCAGACUCUUACGGGAGGAAGAAGGGGGGAAUAUUGGAAAAGGGGCGAAAGCCGGAGGCAGCAAUGCCGCGUGUAGGAAGAAGGCCUUCGGGUUGUAAAGUACUUUCAGCGGGGAGGCGUUACCCGAAGAAGAAGCACCGGCUAACUACGUGCCAGCAGCCGCGGUAAUUC
Molecule: ribosomal RNA, 406 nt
Filed under: uncultured bacterium
Lineage: Bacteria
Description: partial 16S ribosomal RNA
Rfam family: Bacterial small subunit ribosomal RNA
Source: RNAcentral